UACUAGAGUAGCACUCGCAUAUCAAUAACGGAGGAAAAGAAACUAACAAGGAUUCCCCUAGUAACGGCGAGUGAAGCGGGAAGAGCUCAAAUUUGAAAUCUUAAAGGGUUUCCCUUUACGAAUUGUAGUUUAAAGAAGUGUUUUCUGUUGGAGUUUCGGUAAAAGUUCUUUGGAAUAGGACAUCAUAGAGGGUGAGAAUCCCGUAUUUGACCGUUACUUUCCAGCUGUGUGAUACACUUUCAAAGAGUCGGAUUGUUUGGGAAUGCAGUCCAAAAUGGGUGGUAAAUUUCAUCUAAAGCUAAAUAUUGGCGAGAGACCGAUAGCGAACAAGUACCGUGAGGGAAAGAUGAAAAGAACUUUGAAAAGAGAGUUAAACAGUACGUGAAAUUGUCAAAAGGGAAGCGUUUGACACCAGUGUUGUUUAGUUGAAAAUCAAUUCAAUAAUUUUUGAUUUUGAGUAGUAUUGACUUCAUCAGCUUGCUGCUUUCUUUUCGGAAAUUAUUGAAUGCACUUUUCAGUUAACAAGUCAACAUCAAUUUCUUUUGUUGUAAAAGGGUAAGAGGAAGGUGGCUUACGCUUCGGCGUAAGUGUUUAUAGCCUUUUACCUCUGCAAUCGGAGAGAUUGAGGACAGCAGCGUAGACUCUUCGGGGUUAGAUACACUUGUGCUAAGCUAUAGCCUUGUAUAGACAACUUGUUGACUAUGCUCAGUCAUGUAGCCUACUCGCUUGUGCUAUUUUACCUACGCUUAGGAUGUUGAAGAUAUGCGCGACACG
Molecule: ribosomal RNA, 774 nt
Filed under: uncultured Neocallimastigales
Lineage: Eukaryota; Fungi; Neocallimastigomycota; Neocallimastigomycetes; Neocallimastigales
Description: partial large subunit ribosomal RNA
Rfam family: Eukaryotic large subunit ribosomal RNA
Source: RNAcentral